GUGAAUCAUCAAAUUUUUGAACGCAAAUUGCACUCUCCGGUUUUCCGGGAGAGUAUGCCUGUUUGCGGUUCAGCCUAAAAAAAAAUCGACAUCGUUUCUGUUUCGCGGUGACGUGAGUCGGAAAUUGGGUCAUCUUAAACCUUUUGGUUUUUAAGCUACUUAAAAUUUUCUUUUGACCCCAUGAACGUUUCUAAUAUUUAUAUCUUUACAAGUUUAAGGGUAU
RNAcentral lists this unclassified non-coding RNA (223 nucleotides) under Glomus sp. RNAcentral's name for it is "partial contains 5.8S ribosomal RNA and internal transcribed spacer 2". The stretch from base 1 to 72 matches the Rfam family "5.8S ribosomal RNA", at positions 84 to 154 of the family's 154-position model. Lineage: Eukaryota; Fungi; Glomeromycota; Glomeromycetes; Glomerales; Glomeraceae. The record is from RNAcentral.